RNAcentral lists this long non-coding RNA (796 nucleotides) under Bos taurus (domestic cattle). RNAcentral describes it as "long non-coding RNA NONBTAT001872". Lineage: Eukaryota; Metazoa; Chordata; Mammalia; Artiodactyla; Bovidae. The record is from RNAcentral.
UUUUUGGGGACGUGGUAGUACUGGAAGUAUCUGAGUAGCAGUUGCUUUAAGAUGAAUGUUUAGGGAAAUAAAAGCUUAGUGUCUUAACGUGGCUGAACAUUUACCAAGAUGGUUAAAAUUCUAGACUGGUUUUCUACAAAGAUCCUGGUGUAAAACGUGAUGCUGAUGUGGGCCUCAUUUCAAAGUAUGAUACCAAGAGUAAAUUGAUGAACUAUAGGCAACUUGAUGAAGAUGUCAUUUUAACAUGGAUGAGAGACAAAACGAGGGAACUGUGACAUCUUUGCAUGGGUAGUUAAUUUUAUUUAAGACCUGAUAUUGUAGCCUGUUAAGUUCCUCAUAAUAUAAAACCAAGGAACACUGGGUGGUACCCAUGAAUAAUUUAUUUCACUUGUGAAAAUGCCAGCACAAGUCGACUUUGCAGAACCACCGAGUGGAUUUUCAUCACAGUGGUGCCUGGAAAGAAUCGGUCAUCAAAGAUGCAGGGGGAAUUCUAAUCUCACAUGCAUAAUGCCAGAUACUUCUUUUCAUUUUAAAAUCCAUGUCUCUUGUGUAUCUCAGAGGAGAAUUUUCUGAGAUACAGAAGACUGACUAGUGCCUGGGUAGGUGGGUGUCAAGAAUGCUACAUGUAGACAUGGAGGCAGGGAGUCCUCGGAGAGCCUCCUCCAAACCCACAGAAGCACGCAGGCUGUUAACACCCCAGAGGAACAGACAGAUCUGACAGCGGUCACCACGCUGAAGGACUUUUCAGGUAUACUUUUCUUGUUUAAAAACAAGCUUAAAAGCAAGUAAAAUUAGA